CGCGUAGGCGGCUUUGCAAGUCGGGUGUGAAAUCCCCAGGCUUAACCUGGGAACUGCAUUCGAGACUGCAUUGCUAGAGUAUGGGAGAGGGAAGUGGAAUUUCCGGUGUAGCGGUGAAAUGCGUAGAUAUCGGAAGGAACAUCAGUGGCGAAAGCGACUUCCUGGACCAAUACUGACGCUCAUGUGCGAAAGCGUGGGGAGCAACA
Molecule: ribosomal RNA, 206 nt
Filed under: uncultured bacterium
Lineage: Bacteria
Description: partial 16S ribosomal RNA
Rfam family: Bacterial small subunit ribosomal RNA
Source: RNAcentral